AGACGAUGUCGCUGACAAUCCUUUUGUCACCAACUGAUAAAAAAAUCCUUAAAAAUAAAGUUUAUUAAUUUAUUAAUUAACGUCUGCAUCCUGGAGCCGUGAAACCAAACUUAGCAGGUAGGACUAUGGGGACAAACCAACAGUAGGUCUGUGUGGCGCAGCUCAAUGCCGGUGAGCUCAUACUGCAGCAACAAAGGGAAGGGGCGGGCGAGAGAGGGUCGUAGAAAGUGAAUGGAGAGAGAGGAGAGAAAAAGUAGGAGGACGAGAACGGUAGACGGGAAUGGGGAGUGAAAAGAACCGAGCGAAGCUUUGAGGUGGGAGGGAAACACUGAAAGGACGGAAGACAAAUAAAAGGGAUGUGAUCACAGAAAAGAAAGUGUGAGGCAGGAGAGAGGAGGAGGAAAAUGGAGGCAGGAGAAGGACACAAGCGAGAGAAUGAAAAAAGGAGACAUCAAAGUGAAAGGAGUACCGUAAUAUUGAGAAAAGAGACCCACGGUUCACCAGUUCCCUCAAACCACUCACUAUGUGACGCUGUCUGUCAUUAAGAGUCUGCAACAAGUGGCUGCAUAGCGGGGCGCGGCCACUACGGACUCCAGCGAGGCCUCCACGGGUCACGUGCUUCACGGGCCAACACCCGGUACUUUGACCGGAUAAUGGUUACUCUCACCUGCCAGGAUGGCUUUGUGCGCCUGCAGCUUCUGUCCAGCGACACACAGCGAGCAGCCGGUGAGUCUGGAGUUUUCCCACAGAUCUUCUCUCCUCCUCGGCCGGCCCGCCGCUCAGGAACCUUCACCGGGUCCGUUGGGUUCUGGCCUGAGAGGUUCACGGAGUCCUGAGAACAUACACACUUAUUGUCUCAGCCAGGAGGAUUGUGCGCUGCUCCUCUAUGAGUCCAUGAGUGAGCGUGCCCUUCCGUGCUUACCCAGCGUUCUGCUGCAUCAUUUUUUGGGAUGCUGCACGUCCAUGUUGGCAUUAACUCCCGCUUUCUAAAAACACCUUUUAUUGCCUGCAUCGUACUGUCAAUAGCUGCCUGCGG
Long non-coding RNA from Gasterosteus aculeatus aculeatus (three-spined stickleback), 1036 nucleotides. The record is from Ensembl. NCBI's taxonomy places the organism in Eukaryota, Metazoa, Chordata, Actinopteri, Perciformes, Gasterosteidae.